GGAGUCGGCCGGGCAAUCGCUGUCGCGCAAGCGGUGGAGGAAAGUCCGGGCUCCGCAGGGCAGAGUGCCAGGUAACGCCUGGGCGGCGCGAGCCGACGGAAAGUGCAACAGAGAACAGACCGCCGAACGCCUUUGCUUCGCCGUAAGGCAGGGCAGAGGGCGUGGUAAGGGUGAAACGGUGCGGUAAGAGCGCACCGCGCGACCGGCAACGGGAGCGGCACGGCAAACCCCACUUGGAGCAAGACCAAAUAGGGAAGGUGUGCACCUUCGGGUGUACGACGCGUGGCCCGCGUGCCUUCCGGGUAGGUUGCUUGAGCGUGACGGUGACGUCGCGCCUAGAGGAAUGAUUGCCGCAGGCACGCAAGUGCCUGCACAGAACCCGGCUUACAGGCCGACUCCCCAU
Molecule: RNase P RNA, 403 nt
Filed under: Sinimarinibacterium arenosum
Lineage: Bacteria; Pseudomonadati; Pseudomonadota; Gammaproteobacteria; Nevskiales; Nevskiaceae
Description: Sinimarinibacterium sp. CAU 1509 Bacterial RNase P class A
Rfam family: Bacterial RNase P class A
About the family: Ribonuclease P (RNase P) is a ubiquitous endoribonuclease, found in archaea, bacteria and eukarya as well as chloroplasts and mitochondria. Its best characterised activity is the generation of mature 5'-ends of tRNAs by cleaving the 5'-leader elements of precursor-tRNAs.
Source: Rfam by way of RNAcentral